AGUGAACGCUGGCGGUAGGCCUAACACAUGCAAGUCGAACGGCAGCACAGUAAGAGCUUGCUCUUACGGGUGGCGAGUGGCGGACGGGUGAGGAAUACAUCGGAAACUACUUUUUCGGGGGGGAUAACGGAGGGAAACUUCCGCUACUACCGCAUAUAACCAACGGCAGAAAUCAGGGGAUCUUGGCACCUUUCGCGAUUCAUAUAGACGAUUCCGCGUCGGAUUAGUUAGUUGGUAAGGUAACGGCAUACCAAGGCUACGAUGCGUAGCUGAGCUGAGAGGAUGAUCAGCCACACUGGAACUGAGACACGGUCCAGACUCCUACGGGAGGCAGCAGUGGGGAAUCUUGGACAAUGGGCGCAAGCCUGAUGCAGCAAUACCGCGUGAGUGAAGAAGGCCUUCGGGUUGUAAAGCCCUUUUGUUAGGAAAGAAAAAAAGUGGGUUAAUCCACCGCUGUCUUGACGGUACCUAAAGAGUAAGCAACGGCUAACUUCGUG
Molecule: ribosomal RNA, 497 nt
Filed under: uncultured bacterium
Lineage: Bacteria
Description: partial 16S ribosomal RNA
Rfam family: Bacterial small subunit ribosomal RNA
Source: RNAcentral